RNAcentral lists this long non-coding RNA (496 nucleotides) under Helianthus annuus (common sunflower). RNAcentral describes it as "sRNA HanXRQr2_Chr03g0106081". The record is from RNAcentral. Lineage: Eukaryota; Viridiplantae; Streptophyta; Magnoliopsida; Asterales; Asteraceae.
GGUUUGACAAUCUUAGGAUACCUAGAGAAAACUUGUUGAAUUCAGGCUGCUACUAUGAUGUCAUCAUUUGCCGACCAUAGCUUCUCAAAUGGUUGUAUAUUGGUGAAGAGAUUAACACAAGACUACCCUCACUAGGUAAAGCUAAAGAUGAUAUGUAAUGACACCAAACAAUCUGACACAUCAGCUUCCACGCCAUCAUUUUGACCCGGUAAACAGUGAUGCAGAUUAGCAUGGAGGUUGUCUGACAAGAACUCACACUUUGAAUCUAUUUAGGGAGAAGGCAGGAAAUCCGAUGGUGAAGACGGAUUGCGCAAGCUAUAAACGGAGGUAAUGAUUCAGCUAGAACUUUCCAUACGGUGGUGACGAUGGUGGUCCUUAAGAAUCACGUAAACAUUAUCGAUAGAUUCCAAGGGUUUUGGCGAAGACGAUGGUCCGCUUUCCGACAAUGGUUUCGACACCUCUAAUGAACUCCGGUGGAGGAGACUAGGGUUUCGUU